This is a long non-coding RNA of Alosa alosa (allis shad), 298 nucleotides long. RefSeq lists it as uncharacterized. Lineage: Eukaryota; Metazoa; Chordata; Actinopteri; Clupeiformes; Clupeidae. The transcript has 5 exons. The record is from RefSeq and is a predicted model, not a curated record.
CUACAACAAGAAGUACUUUGACAAGCGCCAUUUUGAUGAAACCAGGAGUAGGUGAAACGUGGAGGAGAGGACACGUGUGUGCUGUAAAUAUAUUACUUGUUGAGCAUGUGAAAUGACAAGGCAACCAUGGGGAAGCAGGAGAGCGAUGCAGAAUCGGGAUACAAAACGGAAGGCCCAAAAAGAACAACAAAAGUACGAAAUUCCUGAUGGCCAUGGAAAGAGGGUGCUUAAUGGACUACAAAGGAAAGAAUUUAGAUGAAAUUGAAAUUGAUCCCAAUGAAACAAUUCCAGAGGAGAG